This 471-nucleotide ribosomal RNA is filed under the name uncultured bacterium. RNAcentral's name for it is "bacterial SSU rRNA". It matches the Rfam family "Bacterial small subunit ribosomal RNA", at positions 335 to 799 of the family's 1533-position model. The record is from RNAcentral.
ACUCCUACGGGAGGCAGCAGUGGGGAAUAUUGCACAAUGGGCGCAAGCCUGAUGCAGCCAUGCCGCGUGUAUGAAGAAGGCCUUCGGGUUGUAAAGUACUUUCAGCAGUGAGGAAGGCGGGGUACGUUUAANAGCGUGCCGUUUGACGUUAGCUGCAGAAGAAGCACCGGCUAACUCCGUGCCAGCAGCCGCGGUAAUACGGAGGGUGCGAGCGUUAAUCGGAAUUACUGGGCGUAAAGCGCAUGCAGGUGGUUUGUUAAGUCAGAUGUGAAAGCCCGGGGCUUAACCUCGGAAUAGCAUUUGAAACUGGCAGACUAGAGUACUGUAGAGGGGGUAGAAUUUCAGGUGUAGCGGUGAAAUGCGUAGAGAUCUGAAGGAAUACCGGUGGCGAAGGCGGCCCCCUGGACAGAUACUGACACUCAGAUGCGAAAGCGUGGGGAGCAAACAGGAUUAGAUACCCUGGUAGCUACG